RNAcentral lists this ribosomal RNA (497 nucleotides) under uncultured bacterium. RNAcentral's name for it is "partial 16S ribosomal RNA". It matches the Rfam family "Bacterial small subunit ribosomal RNA", at positions 28 to 507 of the family's 1533-position model. The record is from RNAcentral.
GACGAACGCUGGCGGCGUGCCCAAUACAUGCAAGUUGAGCGCUGAAGGUUGGUACUUGUACCAACUGGAUGAGCAGCGAACGGGUGAGUAACGCGUGGGGAAUCUGCCUUUGAGCGGGGGACAACAUUUGGAAACGAAUGCUAAUACCGCAUAAAAACUUUAAACACAAGUUUUAAGUUUGAAAGAUGCAAUUGCAUCACUCAAAGAUGAUCCCGCGUUGUAUUAGCUAGUUGGUGAGGUAAAGGCUCACCAAGGCGAUGAUACAUAGCCGACCUGAGAGGGUGAUCGGCCACAUUGGGACUGAGACACGGCCCAAACUCCUACGGGAGGCAGCAGUAGGGAAUCUUCGGCAAUAGACGAAAGUCUGACCGAGCAACGCCGCGUGAGUGAAGAAGGUUUUCGGAUCGUAAAACUCUGUUGGUAGAGAAGAACGUUGGUGAGAGUGGAAAGCUCAUCAAGUGACGGUAACUACCCAGAAAGGGACGGCUAACUACGUG